This is a non-coding RNA of Rhodospirillales bacterium 47_12_T64, 87 nucleotides long. The record is from Rfam. NCBI's taxonomy places the organism in Bacteria, Pseudomonadati, Pseudomonadota, Alphaproteobacteria, Rhodospirillales.
GGAAGGAUGGCAGAGCGGUUGAAUGCACUGGUCUUGAAAACCAGCAAGGGUGCAAGCCCUUCCAGGGUUCGAAUCCCUGUCCUUCCG